This 205-nucleotide long non-coding RNA is filed under the name Phasianus colchicus (ring-necked pheasant). RNAcentral's name for it is "lncRNA (ENSPCLG00000006321.1)". Lineage: Eukaryota; Metazoa; Chordata; Aves; Galliformes; Phasianidae. The record is from RNAcentral.
GUAUUAGAAUUACUGUUCAGCUUGGAUCAGAGUACAGCAAGUCUCUCUUCAGCCUUCUGUUUGGACUCACCAGCUGGAUCAUCUGAGUGUCUGAACAGGUUUCCGGCCAUUGGGGAGGUUUUGGUUAUCAAUUCUCUGUGAUAUACCAUCUGUGAGCUGCCUGAACAUGAUGUAAGAUACCUCCUGCCAGAGAAGUUAACAAUCA